This 1063-nucleotide long non-coding RNA is filed under the name Durio zibethinus. Its description in RNAcentral is "long non-coding RNA (DZIB_LNC001581)". Lineage: Eukaryota; Viridiplantae; Streptophyta; Magnoliopsida; Malvales; Malvaceae. The record is from RNAcentral.
UUAAAAAAAUAUAUCUUUCUCUUCUAAAAAAAAAAAGGAUAGCCACCUUCUUUCAACUUGAACUCAAAAUCUGAUGGCCUUUUGUCAUCGUUGUUGCUAUUUGCCACCAUCAACAACUGGUUAAUAGUGUCGAUUGGCUUCCAAACUACCUUGAAAUAUUCCUCUGUUAGUUCUCGUCACCAUUUCGGCCUUUAUUUUGCCAAAAAAUAGCCUCAAAUAACCAAGAUUUUAAUCGAAACAUUGAGUUUUUUUCACCCCAAAGUGCCAACCUCUAUCGUUCCAACGGUUUCAACCUUUUACUAUGUUGUUCCUCUCCUCAAAAGCCCCUUACCUUCCAAAGAUUUAGACCCAAAACACCCUAAAUCACCCAAUACAAAAACUUUUUCCUUUUUUUUUUUUAUGGUUCCUCUCUUAGGAUGGAUUUGAUUUUUUUUGCACUGUUUUCCUCGGUUUCCCCUUAAAGGAAUGCGAUUUUUUUUUGGUGAGUUUCAAUUUAGGUAGAAUGGGUGGAUUUGUUUUUUAAUUUUUAAUUUUUUUGGUUAAUGGUUGUAAGGGUCUCAGUGGUGGCUAGUUUGAGAAUUUUGGUUGUUUGCUAGUGGUAGGUUAAUGACGUAAAGGUGGUGGUAGGGUUAUUAGAGGAAUGAGGGUGAUGGAAAGGUUAGCUUGCUCUAUCGAGUCUUUUUUUUUUUUUGGCAAAUUUCUUGACUACCUCUUAAAAUUUUUCAAAAAAAAUCCCUUUAUUUUGUGAUUACAUGGUCCAUUUAAUGAGCUGAUUUGAAAUCAAAUCCCAGAUUUCAAGGAUUCAAACCUUGAUUUUCUAUUGCAAAAUCGAUUAGGUAGUAACAAGCAUUUAAUGUUUAUGUUUUCCACCGAAAAACACUAAUCAGUGCUAUUGAAGAAAUUUGAUUUUGACUUGUUUUUUACUUUUUAUUAUUUCUAUUUUUUCUUAAUAAGAAUAAAAGAUAAAAUAAAAAUAAAAUAAAAUCAAUUAAGCCUUCAUUUGGACUUCAUUAUAAAGAUUUGGGCUUUCAGGCCCAAACCUGGCUUUGAAUUGAAAUUUAGU